RNAcentral lists this ribosomal RNA (429 nucleotides) under Pseudomonadota bacterium. Its description in RNAcentral is "Proteobacteria bacterium partial 16S ribosomal RNA". It matches the Rfam family "Bacterial small subunit ribosomal RNA", at positions 355 to 776 of the family's 1533-position model. Lineage: Bacteria; Pseudomonadati; Pseudomonadota. The record is from RNAcentral.
UGGGGAAUAUUGGACAAUGGGCGAAAGCCUGAUCCAGCCAUGCCGCGUGUGUGAAGAAGGUCUUCGGAUUGUAAAGCACUUUAAGUUGGGAGGAAGGGCAGUAAGCGAAUACCUUGCUGUUUUGACGUUACCGACAGAAUAAGCACCGGCUAACUCUGUGCCAGCAGCCGCGGUAAUACAGAGGGUGCAAGCGUUAAUCGGAAUUACUGGGCGUAAAGCGCGCGUAGGUGGUUCGUUAAGUUGAAUGUGAAAGCCCCGGGCUCAACCUGGGAACUGCAUCCAAAACUGGCGAGCUAGAGUAGGGCAGAGGGUGGUGGAAUUUCCUGUGUAGCGGUGAAAUGCGUAGAUAUAGGAAGGAACACCAGUGGCGAAGGCGACCACCUGGGCUCCUACUGACACUGAGGUGCGAAAGCGUGGGGAGCAAACAGG